CUGAGUCUCUUCCCUCAGUAAGGCUUGACAGACACAGUGUUGUCCUAUUAGUUGCGCCAUGUAUCAAAUAUAGAGGAAGCCAUUAUCUAGAAAAGUUUAGGGUAGGUGAAGUUUGUGGCUGGACCUUUAAAACAAAAUUCUCUAAGUCUGUAAAUAAUCUCAGCUAAUGAGAGUUAAGAUGAAACCUAUCCGUGAUCUUCAGGUGCUGUUUUUUCCCCCAAGGUUAACAAGUAAGGUGAUCAGAUAGGCAAUGACUUGCACCUGCCCACACUGGCUGGGGGAUAGCUCAGUGCAGGGCAGUGCAACAGAGCUGCUUUUCCUCCUGAUGGGCAGCCAGGAGCACUGUUAAUGUUAUACUGUGCUGUCCCAGGCACUCCAAGUGGGAUUAUGCAUCCUGGCUGUUCUCCUAGCGCUGGAUGAAAGCUCUGUCUGGAGACAGCUGGAUCCUACAUGAGGAGCAACAAAGGGGCUGCAGAGCAGUGAUCUGUUACUCUUCUCUCACAUGUAGAUGAGUAAAAGGCUGAAGAGAACCGAAGCAGUGGAAAAUGCCACACUUUUAUUGAAGUUCAGUGACACAAAAGCUGACGAGAUGCUGAGUGAUUCAUCAGACAGCGCAGUCAGUUGGAUGCGAAGGAAUGCUGGAGAAAGUAUCAGUUACAAUAAUAAGUAGAUUAAUAAUUACAAAAAGCUUUGGUGCUCCCCCAGAGCUAGCCUGAUCCUACACAGUGAAUGACUUAAAUAAAACAAGUGGGAGUUUCAUUUGUUUUAUUUGUAUUUAUUAUUUUUAACCUUCAUAAUCCUUCCUUGUAUUGUGCUGGAGCCUGCAAUGGUGAACGUAAAAGCACGCAUCCAACAGGCUUCAUUGGGCUGCAGAUAGCUCCCAGCUCCUCAGCUGAGCUAUUGGAGCCAAGAGAUGUCUGCUCCUUUUAUCUUUAUUGUAAGGCUUACGAACUUGGAAUAAAUUGGCAGGAGUGGCUUACUGUAAAUAAAUAAAUAAAGCUCAUGCUUCGGUCUGUAGAUGGAGCGGGCUUUGCCCUGCAGUUGGUCGGGUUAUAAAUGUGGUGGGAAAUGCUGACUUUUGAGAUGAUGGAAUUUAUAUAUAUUUUAGGGGAAUGUCUGAAGCUUGACAGCAGUUAAUCUUAUAAGGUCAUUAGAAAACGGAGUGCCUUUGAUUAGUGUUUAUCACUGUGAACAGUUCAUGUUGAAGUGAACGAAGUGGACACCGCCCUCCUGUUCAUGCAGCCUGUUCUGUGCUGAGAAAAACGAGUGUACAGAAAGCUGUGGCUCAUGGGAUUUGCUGGGAGAGGCAUGAAAGGAGCCCAGGGGCAUGUUUGGGGCGGUGGGCUGCCAUGGGCUUAUCAGCUGAGGUUGGUGUGAAAGCCUCUCCUCGCUCACCAG
Long non-coding RNA from Gallus gallus (chicken), 1398 nucleotides. The record is from Ensembl. NCBI's taxonomy places the organism in Eukaryota, Metazoa, Chordata, Aves, Galliformes, Phasianidae.